This 342-nucleotide unclassified non-coding RNA is filed under the name Hevea brasiliensis (rubber tree). The record is from RNAcentral. Lineage: Eukaryota; Viridiplantae; Streptophyta; Magnoliopsida; Malpighiales; Euphorbiaceae.
CGAACUGCCCAUGAAAAAUAUGCCCAAGAUCUGAAGAUGUACCAACCGAACAGCCCAAAUAUUUUAAGAAGCAAUACAACUGUAAUCAGACGUGAUAAUGACAAAUGAUAAUAGGAGCUACAACCCAAGUUUUGACAGAAGCUGGCGCCAUCUUGGAGUCUCUUCAUCGAAAAUGUAGGUUAAAGGAGAAAUUAGAACUCCGCUACCUCCAAUCGCUCUCAGUUGCUGUACAGACUUGUACAGUGCCUUUUUUGGGACACAAAUGACUAUGGCGUAAUAAUCUGGAGAAACUUUUCCAUCACGUUUGCAGUAAACUGGACUUACAGUUGGCCCCUGCAACCC